UACAGAGGUGUCAAACGUUGUCCGGAAUUACUGGGCGUAAAGGGCGCGUAGGCGGCCUUAUAAGUCAGAUGUGAAAGCUCUGGGCUCAACCCAGGAAUUGCAUCUGAUACUGUAGGGCUUGAGUUCGGUAGAGGAGGGCGGAAUUCCAGGUGUAGCGGUGAAAUGCGUAGAUAUCUGGAGGAACACCCGUGGCGAAGGCGGCUCUCUGGUCCGAAACUGACGCUGAGGUGCGAAAGCGUGGGGAGCAAACAGG
RNAcentral lists this ribosomal RNA (253 nucleotides) under uncultured bacterium. RNAcentral's name for it is "partial 16S ribosomal RNA". It matches the Rfam family "Bacterial small subunit ribosomal RNA", at positions 524 to 776 of the family's 1533-position model. The record is from RNAcentral.